This 783-nucleotide ribosomal RNA is filed under the name Triticum aestivum (bread wheat). Its description in RNAcentral is "partial small subunit ribosomal RNA". Lineage: Eukaryota; Viridiplantae; Streptophyta; Magnoliopsida; Poales; Poaceae. The record is from RNAcentral.
AUGGCGCCCGAGCUCACCACGGUGACCCCAUCCCUCCGCUUCUUCCUCUCAUCGGGCCAGAUCGGGCACGCGUGUCCUCAAGUGGCCAAGCGCGACCCCCGAUUCAGCCGAGGCCGCCGCCCGCGCCCGCGCGCCACCACCCGCUCCUCCUCGCCUCUAUUCCUCCGCCCGCCGACCCACCCCAUCCCUGAUACCUCACUCGGCGCCUUCCGCCGCAGGGCCGUCGCGCUCGCAACACCCUCGGCGCCGCACCUCCACCGCUACCUCCGCUGGCUCCUCGCCGACGCCCCCGCCUCGUGCACGAGCGGCCAGAGCACGCCGUCCACCCCGCGCACGCGGCGCUCGACGCGCUCGACGUCUUCGAUACAGUGCAGGACAUCAAGGACCUGGAGCACCCCUACUCGCUGGAGCAGAUACGGUAUGUGCUCUCCCAGUAGUCCGUCUCCGUCUCCCAGUCUCCCAGUAGUCCGUCUCUGUCUCCCAGUAGUCCGUCUCCGUCUCCAUAUCUGGUACGUAUACCUGCAAGAUUGUGCUGCUCAAGGUUUUCUAGUGAUUAUUCUCAUCCUAUAUUAUUCUUAUUGCAAGCCCGAGGUGUCUCCUCAUCAUCUACAACAAAGGAUCCCCAUUGCCCGCCACCAGCCUGUAGCAGAGGAUCCCCACUCUGUUGGGCACAACACGAACACCCAAAACAGAUCAUCAGCAUACACAACCAGUGGAACUGCUACAAAGCACCAGAAGAAGGCGAAGCAAAGAGGGAAAGAUCACAGCAGCUCUUCUUGGUGA